RNAcentral lists this ribosomal RNA (563 nucleotides) under Salmonella enterica. RNAcentral's name for it is "bacterial SSU rRNA". It matches the Rfam family "Bacterial small subunit ribosomal RNA", at positions 970 to 1533 of the family's 1533-position model. Lineage: Bacteria; Pseudomonadati; Pseudomonadota; Gammaproteobacteria; Enterobacterales; Enterobacteriaceae. The record is from RNAcentral.
CUUACCUGGUCUUGACAUCCACGGAAGUUUUCAGAGAUGAGAAUGUGCCUUCGGGAACCGUGAGACAGGUGCUGCAUGGCUGUCGUCAGCUCGUGUUGUGAAAUGUUGGGUUAAGUCCCGCAACGAGCGCAACCCUUAUCCUUUGUUGCCAGCGAUUAGGUCGGGAACUCAAAGGAGACUGCCAGUGAUAAACUGGAGGAAGGUGGGGAUGACGUCAAGUCAUCAUGGCCCUUACGACCAGGGCUACACACGUGCUACAAUGGCGCAUACAAAGAGAAGCGACCUCGCGAGAGCAAGCGGACCUCAUAAAGUGCGUCGUAGUCCGGAUUGGAGUCUGCAACUCGACUCCAUGAAGUCGGAAUCGCUAGUAAUCGUGGAUCAGAAUGCCACGGUGAAUACGUUCCCGGGCCUUGUACACACCGCCCGUCACACCAUGGGAGUGGGUUGCAAAAGAAGUAGGUAGCUUAACCUUCGGGAGGGCGCUUACCACUUUGUGAUUCAUGACUGGGGUGAAGUCGUAACAAGGUAACCGUAGGGGAACCUGCGGUUGGAUCACCUCCUUA